RNAcentral lists this ribosomal RNA (560 nucleotides) under uncultured bacterium. Its description in RNAcentral is "partial 16S ribosomal RNA". It matches the Rfam family "Bacterial small subunit ribosomal RNA", at positions 355 to 1375 of the family's 1533-position model. The record is from RNAcentral.
UGGGGAAUAUUGGACAAUGGGCGCAAGCCUGAUCCAGCAAUGCCGCGUGAGUGAUGAAGGCCUUAGGGUUGUAAAGCUCUUUCGCACGCGACGAUGAUGACGGUAGCGUGAGAAGAAGCCCCGGCUAACUUCGUGCCAGCAGCCGCGGUAAUACGAAGGGGGCUAGCGUUGUUCGGAAUUACUGGGCGUAAAGGGCGCGUAGGCGGCCUGUUUAGUCAGAAGUGAAAGCCCCGGGCUCAACCUGGGAAUAGCUUUUGAUACUGGCAGGCUUGAGUUCCGGAGAGGAUGGUGGAAUUCCCAGUGUAGAGGUGAAAUUCGUAGAUAUUGGGAAGAACACCGGUGGCGAAGGCGGCCAUCUGGACGGACACUGACGCUGAGGCGCGAAAGCGUGGGGAGCAAACAGGAUUAGAUACCCUGGUAGUCCACGCCGUAAACGAUUAAUGCUAGACGUCGGGGUGCAUGCACUUCGGUGUCGCCGCUAACGCAUUAAGCAUUCCGCCUGGGGAGUACGGCCGCAAGGUUAAAACUCAAAUGAAUUGACGGGGUCAUAGCUGUUUCCU